This 675-nucleotide ribosomal RNA is filed under the name uncultured fungus. RNAcentral describes it as "eukaryotic LSU rRNA". It matches the Rfam family "Eukaryotic large subunit ribosomal RNA", at positions 24 to 664 of the family's 3401-position model. The record is from RNAcentral. Lineage: Eukaryota; Fungi.
CCCGCUGAACUUAAGCAUAUCAAUAAGCGGAGGAAAAGAAACUAACAAGGAUUCCCCUAGUAACUGCGAGUGAAGCGGGAAAAGCUCAAAUUUAAAAUCUGGCGGUCUUUUGGCCAUCCGAGUUGUAAUUUAGAGAAGCGUCUUCCGCGCUGGACCGUACACAAGUCUCCUGGAACGGAGCGUCAUAGAGGGUGAGAAUCCCAUCUUUGGUACGGACCCCCGGUGCUUCUGUGAUGCGCUCUCGAAGAGUCGAGUUGUUUGGGAAUGCAGCUCAAAAUGGGUGGUGAACUCCAUCUAAAGCUAAAUAUUGGCGAGAGACCGAUAGCGAACAAGUACCGUGAGGGAAAGAUGAAAAGCACUUUGGAAAGAGAGUGAAACAGUACGUGAAAUUGUUGAAAGGGAAACGCUUCAAGUCAGUCGCGUCUGCCGAGACUCAGCCUCGCUCCGGCUUGGUGUAUUUCUCGGUACGACGGGUCAGCAUCAAUUUUGUCCCUCGGAUAAUGGCAAGGGAAAGGUGGCACCUUUGCGGGUGUGUUAUAGUCUUUUGUCGCAUGCGAGGGGUGAGAUUGAGGAACUCAGCAUGCGCGCCCUUCUGGGGUGUGUCGGGGCCUCGGCCCACGCCACGUGCUUAGGAUGCUGGCGUAAUGGCUUUAAACGACCCGUCUUGAAACACGG